This 250-nucleotide ribosomal RNA is filed under the name uncultured Brevundimonas sp. RNAcentral describes it as "partial 16S ribosomal RNA". It matches the Rfam family "Bacterial small subunit ribosomal RNA", at positions 382 to 649 of the family's 1533-position model. Lineage: Bacteria; Pseudomonadati; Pseudomonadota; Alphaproteobacteria; Caulobacterales; Caulobacteraceae. The record is from RNAcentral.
CCUGACGCAGCCAUGCCGCGUGAAUGAUGAAGGUCUUAGGAUUGUAAAAUUCUUUCACCGGGGACGAUAAUGACGGUACCCGGAGAAGAAGCCCCGGCUAACUUCGUGCCAGCAGCCGCGGUAAUACGAAGGGGGCUAGCGUUGCUCGGAAUUACUGGGCGUAAAGGGAGCGUAGGCGGACAUUUAAGUCAGGGGUGAAAUCCCGGGGCUCAACCUCGGAAUUGCCUUUGAUACUGGGUGUCUUGAGUAU